AGUUUCUGCCCUAUCAGCUUUGGAUGGUAGGGUAUUGGCCUACCAUGGCGGUAACGGGUAACGGGGAAUUAGGGUUCGAUUCCGGAGAGGGAGCCUGAGAAACGGCUACCACAUCCAAGGAAGGCAGCAGGCGCGUAAAUUACCCAAUCCUAAUUCAGGGAGGUAGUGACAAUAAAUAACAAUGCCGGGCUUUUUAAGUCUGGCAAUUGGAAUGAGAACAAUUUAAAUCCCUUAUCGAGGAUCAAUUGGAGGGCAAGUCUGGUGCCAGCAGCCGCGGUAAUUCCAGCUCCAAUAGCGUAUAUUAAAGUUGUUGCAGUUAAAAAGCUCGUAGUUGGAUUUCUGGAUUGAACGUCCGGUCCGCGUACCUUUGGUGCG
RNAcentral lists this ribosomal RNA (375 nucleotides) under Haptoglossa zoospora. RNAcentral describes it as "SSU rRNA". It matches the Rfam family "Eukaryotic small subunit ribosomal RNA", at positions 302 to 677 of the family's 1831-position model. The record is from RNAcentral. Lineage: Eukaryota; Oomycota; Haptoglossaceae.